This 590-nucleotide long non-coding RNA is filed under the name Gallus gallus (chicken). RNAcentral's name for it is "long non-coding RNA NONGGAT009221". The record is from RNAcentral. Lineage: Eukaryota; Metazoa; Chordata; Aves; Galliformes; Phasianidae.
UCAAAACGUACUUCUUUUCAUUCUGCAUGUAUGGCAUGGAUUGAAUAGCAGUCAUCCAGAAAGCAGAAAUACCAGUGUCAGAGUCAGAACGCUUAUACAGGGUAGAGAUUUGCUGUUCCAUUUCACUCUUCUAUCCUGGUGUGACUUUGUGACCUCAAGAAAUCCCUUUCUAUCAUGAAAGCUGUCUCCAAGAAUUGGCACCUUUGUGAUUACAUCUCAUUUCUGGUGCUGGAGAGCUGCAUCCAGGAGCUCAAGCUGUGAAGUGGUGAACAAAGCCCUCUGCUAUGUUGUGCUUCUUCACAUAGAUGAAAAUGGACACAAAGAAGCUGGAUUGUGUCUUAAGGUGAAGAAAGAUGCAGCAGCAACUUUGUGAUGGUGCUCCUGGAGAGCAGCGCGGUGCAGCUGGGCUGUGGGGACCACCAGCAUCCCUGCCUCUGCAUCACCCCAUCCAGCACUGGGAAGCACUUCUGUAGGCGUGGAGGUUUCCAUCUUCCAGGCUGUUUGGGCAUGGAGUGCUCCAACAAGGUCACUGACUUGCCCUGUUAUUCUGAAGGUCUCCAUAUCCAUGUGACAUGUGCAUUCCAUGUGAA